CACUGCAGAGGCGAAAGGUGGCUGCCUGUGUCGGCAAGCAAACGCACAUCCUGUCACUGGUGGAGAAGAGGGCCUUGCUGUUUUCCACACCCAUUCCAGACUUGCAAGAAAGAAAGUCUCCUCAGAAACUGGAAGGGAUCCAGAAGACAUGGGCAAACCUGCAGGUCUUUCUUGAGAGAGAACUGUGUUCUUUCAUUUCUCAGAUCUAUUGAAGCCUUGAGAAGAUUAAUUGAGGGACUGCUUGCCUCGGAGGCAUUUCAGGGAGGCAGGCUCAGUCCUGGAUCAGCAAUGUUCCAGGCUCUCUGGAGAGACAUACAUUAUACCCACCUGGGAACCUCGUGGGUAAAAUCCCCCCAACCACAGCUGCUGACCUGGGGCUUUGUGGAUCCUCUCAACACUUUUGGGCCUAAGAAACACAGUAACCAAAGCUCUGGGUAAACCCUUCCUUUCCUGUGAUGUCUUCGUAAUAAACUCGGGUGAA
RNAcentral lists this long non-coding RNA (481 nucleotides) under Mustela putorius furo (domestic ferret). RNAcentral describes it as "lncRNA (ENSMPUG00000025114.1)". Lineage: Eukaryota; Metazoa; Chordata; Mammalia; Carnivora; Mustelidae. The record is from RNAcentral.